AACCAUAGAAACCUGCGGAGUACCUGCGGAAGGAUCAUUACAGAGUUGCAAAACUCCCUAAACCAUUGUGAACGUUACCUAAACCGUUGCUUCGGCGGGCGGCCCGGGUCCUUCCCGGCGCCCAUCGGCCCUCGCGGGCGCCCGCCGGAGGUAAACCAAACUACUGCAUUGUAUGGCCUCUCUGAGUCUUCUGUACUGAAUAAGUCAAAACUUUCAACAACGGAUCUCAGAUCGGAAGAG
This 240-nucleotide unclassified non-coding RNA is filed under the name soil metagenome. RNAcentral describes it as "partial contains 5.8S ribosomal RNA, internal transcribed spacer 2, and large subunit ribosomal RNA". The record is from RNAcentral.